UCCUUGCUCUGCCUCGUGAAGACUCAGCAAGAAAACCACCAUGGUCUGCACUCCAGGACAAGAGCUGUCACCAGGAGCCACAUCAGCCCACACCUUGAUCUUGGGCUUCCCCACCUCCAGAACUGUGAGAAGUGGUGGGUUGAAGCACCCAGGCACUGGGGUAGAGGGACAGCUACUCUACCUGGGGCAUGUGGACACGUCUGUCACCCCGGUACCCUUAGACCCUCCAGUUCUGGUCAUCAAGUCAAGCAAUCUUUUAAAAACUGUUUGAGCCAAUUGAAGCCUAAGAAGAGGUGGUGCCAAGAUGCAAUAUGAUGUCCUGUUGGGAUCCUGGAACAGACAAAGAAAUUAGAUUUCUCAGCCCCUGUGUAAAAGUCCCUUGUGAAGGACAGUGGCAUGCAUUCCAUGGACGGUUCCACCGAACAGUUCCGAGUAGAUUCAGAUGCCGCUGCUUCUUUAUGUGCAAAGAAGCCCUUUCCAGUGAAGAAGACAGUAGGAAAGGAACAUUAAUAAAGUUGGUUCGAAGGAUCAGGUUAGUUUACGUUUUCUGAGAAGCAAAUUCAUUUUUUCAAAAAGUCAUUUAAAAGGUUUUCACAUUGCCCAUGCAGUGCCAGACUUGUCACGUGUGCCACAUCACGUGUUCCCUCGUGUGCACAUACACAGCAGUGACCUUGGGGGGAAGAACCGUGGACCCAUUACCACCACCUGAAAGUUGGCCUCAUCUGUCUCAGGGUCUUGCUGCUUUGACAUGGUUACCACCACUAAAUUAUAA
Molecule: long non-coding RNA, 772 nt
Organism: Bos taurus (domestic cattle)
Lineage: Eukaryota; Metazoa; Chordata; Mammalia; Artiodactyla; Bovidae
Source: Ensembl